This 253-nucleotide ribosomal RNA is filed under the name uncultured bacterium. RNAcentral's name for it is "partial 16S ribosomal RNA". It matches the Rfam family "Bacterial small subunit ribosomal RNA", at positions 524 to 776 of the family's 1533-position model. The record is from RNAcentral.
UACGUAGGUGGCAAGCGUUGUCCGGAAUUAUUGGGCGUAAAGCGCGCGCAGGCGGUUCCUUAAGUCUGAUGUGAAAGCCCCCGGCUCAACCGGGGAGGGUCAUUGGAAACUGGGGAACUUGAGUGCAGAAGAGAAGAGCGGAAUUCCACGUGUAGCGGUGAAAUGCGUAGAGAUGUGGAGGAACACCAGUGGCGAAGGCGGCUCUUUGGUCUGUAACUGACGCUGAGGCGCGAAAGCGUGGGGAGCAAACAGG